GGUUCUAUAGUGUAGUGGUCAUCACGUCUGCUUUACACGCAGAAAGUCCUGGGUUCAAUUCCUAGUGGAACCA
RNAcentral lists this transfer RNA (73 nucleotides) under Ameiurus melas (black bullhead). It matches the Rfam family "tRNA". Rfam says of the family: Transfer RNA (tRNA) molecules are approximately 80 nucleotides in length. Their secondary structure includes four short double-helical elements and three loops (D, anti-codon, and T loops). Lineage: Eukaryota; Metazoa; Chordata; Actinopteri; Siluriformes; Ictaluridae. The record is from Rfam by way of RNAcentral.